UUAGAUAUGUGAGAAAACCGGUUGGAACUUGCCUUAACCAAGAAAAGCUACAAAAUAUUUUU
RNAcentral lists this small RNA (62 nucleotides) under Arabidopsis thaliana (thale cress). RNAcentral's name for it is "ATSL263740". The record is from RNAcentral. Lineage: Eukaryota; Viridiplantae; Streptophyta; Magnoliopsida; Brassicales; Brassicaceae.